AACUUGGGAUUUUGGCUUGUUGUUUGAUUUAUUAUAAUAUGUUUGGAAACAUAUACAUAAUUGCUUGUUUGGUUAUGACAGGGAUGUUGUGGGUGUAGAACAAAACAAAUGUUUAUGUUGACCCGUGUUUUUGUACAGGUUCAAGGGAAUCUUGGUUUUGUGAACAAAAUUUGUUUAUUUGUCACAAGGUUUUGUGUUUGGGAAAUAGUUUAAUAGGUAAGGUUAUUGACUAUAGAUUUUUGCUUGGGUAUAUAGCGUGACUAGUUGAAGCUAUUUUUAGGAUACAAAACUUGAAUUAGCUUCGCACUAUCUUGAUGAAGAGUGUGCGAAGCUUUUAUAUGUUUUGGUGUUGAAAUUUUGUAUUGUAGAUGAAGCAUUGGGGUUGAAGCUUGAUAGGUGAAGCUUUGGUGUUGAAGCUUUAUAGGUGAAGCUUUGUGUUUGAAGCUUUAUAGGUGAAGCUUUGGGGUUGAAGCUUGAUAGGUGAAGCUUUGGUGUUGAAGCUUUGGGGUUGAAGCUUUAUAGGUGAAGCUUUGGUGUUGAAGCUUUAUAGGUGAAGCUUUGGUGUUGAAGCUUUAUAGGUGAAGCUUUUGUGUUGGCACCAUAAAUUGAUUUUGUUUCACACUAUCUUGAUGAAGAUAGUGCGAAGCUUUUGAGAUUGAUAUUUGUCCUCAAUUGAUGAAGCUUUUGUUGGCACCAGAAAUUGAUUUUGCUUUACACUAUCUUGAUGAAGAUAGUGCGAAGCUUUUGAGAUUGAUAUGUGUCCUCCAUUGAUGAAGCUUUUGUUGGCACCAUAAAUUGAUUUUGCUUCACACUAUCUUGAUGAAGAUAGUGCGAAGCUUUUGAGAUUGAUAUUUUUCCUCCAUUGAUGAAGCUACUGUGUUCCCCCUUCGGAUUUUUUUUUUUUUCGGCUUUUUUGUUUUUGUUUUGUUUUUUUUUUGGAUUUUUUUUUUUUUUUGAAGGGGGAACUGAAACAUUUGAAAUUUGAAACUCCCUAGUGUUAUAAGUUUGAAGAUUUUCCAUGUGGGGCUUUUUCACGGUUUGAAUUUGAAUUUUGAAUAUCAAUAGCCAUGUUUAACUAUAUAUAAGAAGGAUAAGUUUCCAUUCUUUACCUUAACUUCAUUUGCUCAUCUUGUAGUGAUUUUUGAAGACAUAGUGCUCUUUACUUGAGAGGGAUUCUGACAUUGCUUUGCUGCACCAUCUUCAGGUUGGUAGUCUUCUCCACUAGAUCGGAUGUUUUCAUUCUUGUUGAAUUGUUUGAGUGUUCAUGUAUUCUGUUAAGAACAUAAGGAACUGGUUGAGCUUUUCUGCAUGCCCUAUGAGCUUCCUUAUGUUUUGAUCCUUCAUGUAGUGAUAGAGUUUGUUUCUGUUUGUUGUAGAUG
RNAcentral lists this long non-coding RNA (1379 nucleotides) under Malus domestica (apple). RNAcentral's name for it is "long non-coding RNA (MDOM_LNC001488)". The record is from RNAcentral. Lineage: Eukaryota; Viridiplantae; Streptophyta; Magnoliopsida; Rosales; Rosaceae.